This 342-nucleotide ribosomal RNA is filed under the name uncultured prokaryote. Its description in RNAcentral is "bacterial SSU rRNA". It matches the Rfam family "Bacterial small subunit ribosomal RNA", at positions 26 to 352 of the family's 1533-position model. The record is from RNAcentral.
AGAACGAACGCUGGCGGCGUGCCUAACACAUGCAAGUCCAACGUGAAAGGGGAGCAAUCCCCCGGUAGGGUGGCAAACGGGUGAGUAAUACAUGGGUGAUCUACCUUAGGGAUGGGGAUAUCCUUCCGAAAGGAGGGGCAAUACCGAAUAUUGUCCGGAGCCGUGAAGGGUUCCGGGGAAAGGGAGGCCUCUGGCAACAUGCUUCCGCUCCGAGAGGAGCCCAUGGCCCAUCAGCUAGUUGGUAGGGUAAAGGCCUAUCAAGGCGAAGACGGGUAGCUGGUCUGAGAGGAUGAUCAGCCACACUGGGACUGAGACACGGCCCAGACUCCUACGGGAGGCAGC